Non-coding RNA from Desulfuromonadales bacterium C00003096, 76 nucleotides. Lineage: Bacteria; Pseudomonadati; Thermodesulfobacteriota; Desulfuromonadia; Desulfuromonadales. The record is from Rfam.
GAGAGCAGUAUACGGGAAAUCCGUACGUACUGUUCGAUGAGGGGGACGGAGGUCGAAAGACCUCCUCAUACUCUAC